AUACAGAGGGUGCAAGCGUUAAUCGGAUUUACUGGGCGUAAAGCGCGCGUAGGUGGCUAAUUAAGUCAAAUGUGAAAUCCCCGAGCUUAACUUGGGAAUUGCAUUCGAUACUGGUUAGCUAGAGUAUGGGAGAGGAUGGUAGAAUUCCAGGUGUAGUGGUGAAAUGCGUAGAGAUCUGGAGGAAUACCGAUGGCGAAGGCAGCCAUCUGGCCUAAUACUGACACUGAGGGGCGAAAGCAUGGGGAGCAAACAGGAUUAGAUACCCUGGUAGUCCAUGCCGUAAACGAUGUCUACUAGCCGUUGGGGCCCUUGAGGCUUUAGUGGCGCAGCUAACGCGAUAAGUAGACCGCCUGGGGAGUACGGUCGCAAGACUAAAACUCAAAUGAAUUGACGGGG
Molecule: ribosomal RNA, 396 nt
Filed under: uncultured bacterium
Lineage: Bacteria
Description: partial 16S ribosomal RNA
Rfam family: Bacterial small subunit ribosomal RNA
Source: RNAcentral